UCUUUUUAAUGGAAAAGGAAGAAUGAGUUGGAACAUUACAUUUGUUGCCUAAAAUAUUGUAGGCCAUCUUGUGUAGAGCCUAAAUUUAAAUCAGGUUCUCCACUGAGCAUAAAAGCAAGUGUUUGGAUGGCAACAUAAUCUGAAUCGUUGUAGAGCCAUGAGGCUACUAUAACCAAAAAAAUCAUAAUUAUCUAAUAUGAGCAGCUGCUAUAUUGUAUUUCAAAACCUGCAAAUAUGAAUAACAUACAACUAUAAAACCACCAUAAAAUUCAGUGAAAAGCUGUAUACAAACAUUGAUUAUAUCCAAAGAGUAGGAUCCAAAGAUAGAUCCAUUAAGAAUAAUGUUAAGCCAUAUGAUAUCAUUGUACAAAUUAGAAACUUUACAUUCUUUUAAUAACGUAGUCUGUCCAACAGUAAAUCAAAAGAAAAGCAUUAUGUUACCAUCCAAACACCAUAUUCUUAUUCAACUACAAUCACAUGUGGGAGCAAGUAAGCAACUGGAAACUUUUUUACCCGCUAAGAUGGAAAAGGGAAGACAUAGAAAACAGAAAGAAGAAUAGUGCACUACCUACAGAUUCUCUUGUAGUUCCAUCUGAUCCCCACACUGAAAAUCAGAGAAACAUAAUGUAUCAAAACUUAAAACAAAUUUUCUAUAGUUUUAAGCCAAAAGCCUAUAAUCAGAGUGCUGAAACAUGAGUAAACAAAAGUUACCUGAACAUCUGAUAGCUUUCCCUGACAUUUCAUUAACAAAUCAAUUAGGCAUUAGUGAAAAAAGUUGCAAUUAGCCUCUGCCUUCAAUGCACCCCUUCUAUUUUCCUGUUUCCAUUGUCUCUCCCAUACCUCUCGCAUAUGAAAAUCGCCAUGCUCCUCUCUUCAGUUUUUAGGUUUAGAGAGGGACUGUGAGAGGAAAAUAUGCUCUGUGAUUAUACAUACCCUGAACAACUUAUUCAAGUUGCAUAUUUAAGAACAAAAGUAGAAAUAAAUAUUCCAUACUCUGAAAAUAAAAAUAUAAUUAAAAUCAAAACAUUUAUGUAAAAUAUUAAUGAACAUCUGCUGCUAGUCGAAUUGAAUGAUACAUCAUCUUUUCUAAUCUCUCCAAAUCAGAUGUAGUCCUCCAUAAGUUGUUAAAUAAGCAAGAAAGUGGGUGGUUUCCCGUCUGUUCACCGUAGCCUGUCAAUCAUCUACAUGCUCUCCAUUUAAAGUUCCUCAAAUAUCGGCAUACACACUGGUGUUCGAAUCGAUGGUGGUGAGUCGGUGGAAGUAACCUUAGGAUGACAUAAAAUGAACCCAUAUAUGUUACAUGAAAAAAAAACCUUAAAAUUCGAUUCAAAAAACUGACAGUAGAAAGAAGGACAAUCGGAAGUGAAGUAACCUGAGCAAGCUGGAAUCGAGAGAGAGGGAGGGCAAAUCGUAUGUAUGGUUGUAACAACGGAUUGGGUAAGAACGUCGAUGAAGGAUCGAUGAUGGUGGUGUGGAGAAGUUGUACGGUUGCAAGUUUUUGGCACCGCGCUCCGUCAAUGUCUAUUUUCCAUGUGAAGGUGAAGGAGACGUAUGAUGGAGUUAGCUUAAAGUAACGAUCGGUGGAGCAAAACCAUUGGACAACUGAAGCGUUGGAUUGAGAAUCACAACAUGUGUCGACAAAGAACGGAGAAAAUUGCAUAAAGUGCCCAGAAGAAAAAUGCCUACGAACAAAUCCAGAACAUAACAAACCCCCAUAAACGAAGGACGAUUUUUGCCAAAAAAAAAACAGCUAAUCAAAUACCUAGGGACCAAUUAUGCCAAACUUUAGCCACUUUACUGUAGCUAAGGUUGGAUAAUUUUAAUAUAUAGUAUAAUUUUAAAAAGUUAUUUAGUUUAAUAAAAUAUUGAAUAUAAUACUUAAUAAAUACAUACACGUUUUCAAAAAAAAAUGUCUGUUAGCUAAUCAUUAACUACGAUGCUAAACAUCAGUUUGGAAAAAAAAACUAAGCUCCUACACAUGCUAAAAUAAUUAACUAUAUGAAUAAUAUGACGUUAAUUACGUUUAAUUUAUUUUAUUUAAUUGAGAAUAAUUUUUUAAACAAAACUAAUGUCAUA
This 2076-nucleotide long non-coding RNA is filed under the name Lactuca sativa (garden lettuce). RNAcentral's name for it is "long non-coding RNA (LSAT_LNC003690)". Lineage: Eukaryota; Viridiplantae; Streptophyta; Magnoliopsida; Asterales; Asteraceae. The record is from RNAcentral.